This 352-nucleotide ribosomal RNA is filed under the name uncultured bacterium. Its description in RNAcentral is "bacterial SSU rRNA". It matches the Rfam family "Bacterial small subunit ribosomal RNA", at positions 340 to 685 of the family's 1533-position model. The record is from RNAcentral.
UACGGGAGGCAGCAGUAGGGAAUUUUCGUCAAUGGGGGGAACCCUGAACGAGCAAUGCCGCGUGAGUGAGGAAGGUCUUCGGAUCGUAAAGCUCUGUUGUAAGAGAAAAACGGCACUCAUAGGGAAUGAUGAGUGAGUGAUGGUAUCUUACCAGAAAGUCACGGCUAACUACGUGCCAGCAGCCGCGGUAAUACGUAGGUGGCGAGCGUUAUCCGGAAUGAUUGGGCGUAAAGGGUGCGUAGGUGGCAGAUCAAGUCUGGAGUAAAAGGUAUGGGCUCAACCCGUACUGGCUCUGGAAACUGAUCAGCUAGAGAACAGAAGAGGACGGCGGAACUCCAUGUGUAGCGGUAAA